UGAGCAACAGAGCCUCAAGGUUCAACAAGCCUAGGAUCACAUCUGAAUCACUGAUAUCUCCAUUCCAUAGAACUUCAAAGGAGAACCCAUCAAAGAUCGUCUCGAAAACACUUGCCUUGAUCAGGAUAUGCUGAAAAACCACCGACGAGGAAAAUGACUUCAUCAUCAUCUUCUUAGUGGAAAUAUAGUCAAAAACAUAAAAACAAGUAUUCCAAUAACAAUGUAGAGAUCUAGAUGAGAGAGAGGUUUCCAGCAAGUUUUGAUAGUCUUGCUUAAGAUUUUAUUCCAUUUGAACGGGUCAUUUAGAGCUAUCAGAGUGGCGGACAUCAAUGCCUGUCACCUUUGAGGUCUAACAUUGCAUGCACAGUUUUAAGCAAGAUAUCUUGCUAGGAUGUGAGAUUUUUCAGCAAGUUUUAAAACAUCUUGCAAAAGAUUGAUUGAAAUGCCUCAUUCUGAUUCCAUAUUUUACAGAUUCAACUGGUCUUUUAGGUGAGAGGUUGCAAGUCUCGGCAUUGUCGCUGCCUUAGGGAUGACCAUGAACGACCCUCCCAACCAACCUGAUCAGGAGAGCCUCAAGGUUCAGCUGAUCUUUUAGGUGAGAGGUUGCAAGUCUCGGCAUUGUCGCUGCCUUAGGGAUGACCAUGAAACCUCCCAACCAACCUGAGCAGGAGAGCCUCAAGGUUCAACAAGCCUAGGAUCACAUCUGAAUCACUGAUAUCUCCAUUCCGUAGAACUUCAAAGGAGAACCCAUCAAAGAUCGUCUCGAAAACACUUGCCUUGAUCAGGAUACGCUGAAAAACCACCGACGAGGAAAAUCACUCCCAUCAUCAUCUUCUUAGUGGAAAUAUAGUCAAAAACAUAAAAACAAGUAUUCCAAUAACAAUGUAGAGAUCUAGAUGAGAGAGAGAUUUCCAUUUGAACGCGUCAUUUAGAGCUGUCAGAGUGGCGGACAUCAACGCCUGUUACCUUUGAGGUCUAACAUA
Lineus longissimus is the source of this 983-nucleotide long non-coding RNA. RefSeq lists it as uncharacterized. Lineage: Eukaryota; Metazoa; Nemertea; Pilidiophora; Heteronemertea; Lineidae. The transcript is spliced from 4 exons. The record is from RefSeq and is a predicted model, not a curated record.